Long non-coding RNA from Octopus sinensis (East Asian common octopus), 215 nucleotides. RefSeq lists it as uncharacterized. NCBI's taxonomy places the organism in Eukaryota, Metazoa, Mollusca, Cephalopoda, Octopoda, Octopodidae. The transcript is spliced from 3 exons. The record is from RefSeq and is a predicted model, not a curated record.
AUGGAAACCCUUUAAAAUUUCAAACAAAUUUAUUUUAAUAUGGGGUAGGACCGUGUUUGCCAGUAAUUACAGCUCAAAUUCUACGAGGUAUGCACUUGUAGAAAGUUUGAAUUGUUUCCAAAGGAAUUUUUGUCCAUUCUUCAGCUAAAACAGUCUCCAGUUCUUGUAGUGAUGAUGGUGGAGGAUAUCGACUCCUUAUUUGUUUUUGUAAAAUG